Molecule: ribosomal RNA, 509 nt
Filed under: uncultured Glomus
Lineage: Eukaryota; Fungi; Glomeromycota; Glomeromycetes; Glomerales; Glomeraceae
Description: SSU rRNA
Rfam family: Eukaryotic small subunit ribosomal RNA
Source: RNAcentral
AGCAGCCGCGGUAAUUCCAGCUCCAAUAGCGUAUAUUAAAGUUGUUGCAGUUAAAAAGCUCGUAGUUGAAUUUCGGGGUCAGCAGGUUGGUCGUGCCACUGGUAUGCACUGGCCUUUGCUGAUUCCUCCCUCUUGAUGAGCCGUAAUGUCAUUAAUUUGGUGUUGCGGGGAAUCAGGACUGUUACUUUGAAAAAAUUAGAGUGUUUAAAGCAAGCAAGCGCUUGAAUACAUUAGCAUGGAAUAAUGAAAUAGGACGUUUGAUCCUAUUUUGUUGGUUUCUAGGAUUGACGUAAUGAUUAAUAGGGAUAGUUGGGGGCAUUAGUACUCAAUUGUCAGAGGUGAAAUUCCUGGAUUUAUUGAAGACUGACUACUGCGAAAGCAUUUGCCAAGGAUGUUUUCAUUAAUCAAGAACGAAAGUUAGGGGAUCGAAGACGAUCAGAUACCGUCGUAGUCUUAACCAUAAACUAUGCCGACUAGGGAUCGGAUGAUGUUAAUUUUUUAAUGACUCA